Molecule: ribosomal RNA, 499 nt
Filed under: uncultured Glomeromycotina
Lineage: Eukaryota; Fungi; Glomeromycota
Description: partial small subunit ribosomal RNA
Rfam family: Eukaryotic small subunit ribosomal RNA
Source: RNAcentral
CCAAUAGCGUAUAUUAAAGUUGCUGCAGUUAAAAAGCUCGUAGUUGAAUUUCGGGACUAAUAUGUCGGUCGUGCCUCGGUACGUACUGGUAUUUUUGGUUUCUCCCUUCUGACGAACCUUGAUGUCAUUAAUUUGGUGUCUUGGGAAAUCAGGACUGUUACUUUGAAAAAAUUAGAGUGUUUAAAGCAGGCUCACGCUUGAAUACAUUAGCAUGGAAUAAUGAAAUAGGACGUUUGAUUCUAUUUUGUUGGUUUCUAGGAUCGACGUAAUGAUUAAUAGGGAUAGUUGGGGGCAUUAGUAUUCAAUUGUCAGAGGUGAAAUUCUUGGAUUUAUUGAAGACUAACUACUGCGAAAGCAUUUGCCAAGGAUGUUUUCAUCAAUCAAGAACGAAAGUUAGGGGAUCGAAGACGAUCAGAUACCGUCGUAGUCUUAACCAUAAACUAUGCCGACUAGGGAUCGGAUGAUGUUAAUUUUUUAAUGACUCAUUCGGCGCCUUACG